This 433-nucleotide ribosomal RNA is filed under the name uncultured bacterium. RNAcentral describes it as "partial 16S ribosomal RNA". It matches the Rfam family "Bacterial small subunit ribosomal RNA", at positions 29 to 507 of the family's 1533-position model. The record is from RNAcentral.
AACGAACGCUGGCGGCAUGCCUAACACAUGCAAGUCGAACGAGACCUUCGGGUCUAGUGGCGCACGGGUGCGUAACGCGUGGGAACCUGCCCUUAGGUUCGGAAUAACUCCCCGAAAGGGGUGCUAAUACCGGACAAUGUCUUCGGACCAAAGAGUUAUCGCCUUUGGAUGGGCCCGCGUUGGAUUAGCUAGUUGGUAGGGUAAAAGCCUACCAAGGCGACGAUCCAUAGCUGGUCUGAGAGGAUGAUCAGCCACACUGGGACUGAGACACGGCCCAGACUCCUACGGGAGGCAGCAGUGGGGAAUAUUGGACAAUGGGCGAAAGCCUGAUCCAGCAAUGCCGCGUGAGUGAUGAAGGCCUUAGGGUUGUAAAGCUCUUUUACCCGGGAUGAUAAUGACAGUACCGGGAGAAUAAGCUCCGGCUAACUCCGUG